This 472-nucleotide ribosomal RNA is filed under the name Klebsiella aerogenes. Its description in RNAcentral is "bacterial SSU rRNA". It matches the Rfam family "Bacterial small subunit ribosomal RNA", at positions 558 to 1030 of the family's 1533-position model. Lineage: Bacteria; Pseudomonadati; Pseudomonadota; Gammaproteobacteria; Enterobacterales; Enterobacteriaceae. The record is from RNAcentral.
GCGUAAGCGCACGCAGGCGGUCUGUCAAGUCGGAUGUGAAAUCCCUGGGCUCAACCUGGGAACUGCAUUCGAAACUGGCAGGCUAGAGUCUUGUAGAGGGGGGUAGAAUUCCAGGUGUAGCGGUGAAAUGCGUAGAGAUCUGGAGGAAUACCGGUGGCGAAGGCGGCCCCCUGGACAAAGACUGACGCUCAGGUGCGAAAGCGUGGGGAGCAAACAGGAUUAGAUACCCUGGUAGUCCACGCCGUAAACGAUGUCGACUUGGAGGUUGUGCCCUUGAGGCGUGGCUUCCGGAGCUAACGCGUUAAGUCGACCGCCUGGGGAGUACGGCCGCAAGGUUAAAACUCAAAUGAAUUGACGGGGGCCCGCACAAGCGGUGGAGCAUGUGGUUUAAUUCGAUGCAACGCGAAGAACCUUACCUACUCUUGACAUCCAGAGAACUUAGCAGAGAUGCUUUGGUGCCUUCGGGAACUCU